Molecule: ribosomal RNA, 1149 nt
Filed under: gut metagenome
Description: bacterial LSU rRNA
Rfam family: Bacterial large subunit ribosomal RNA
Source: RNAcentral
CCAGGCGACUGUUUAGCAAAAACACAGGUCUCUGCUAAAUCGAAAGAUGACGUAUAGGGGCUGACACCUGCCCAGUGCUGGAAGGUUAAGAGGAGUGCUUAGAUAGACGCAAGUCGAUUAUUCGAAGGUACGAAUUGAAGCCCCAGUGAACGGCGGCCGUAACUAUAACGGUCCUAAGGUAGCGAAAUUCCUUGUCAGGUAAGUUCUGACCCGCACGAAAGGUGUAAUGAUUUGGGAGCUGUCUCGACAAUGUACUCGGCGAAAUUGUAGUACUAGUGAAGAUGCUAGUUACCUGCGACAAGACAGAAAGACCCCAUGGAGCUUUACUGCAGCUUGAUACUGGGUUUCGGUAAUUUAUGUACAGGAUAGGUGGGAUGCUAAGAAGUAUGUGCGCCAGCGCAUAUGGAGCAGACGUUGGGAUACCACCCUUAAAUUACUGGAAUUCUAACUAUAAGUCCUAAGCGGGCUUGAGGACAAUGUCAGGCGGGCAGUUUGACUGGGGCGGUCGCCUCCUAAAGAGUAACGGAGGCGCGCAAAGGUUUCCUCAGCGCGGACAGAAAUCGCGCGAAAGAGUGCAAAGGCAGAAGGAAGCUUAACUGAGAGACAGACAUGUCGACCAGAUACGAAAGUAGGUCUUAGUGAUCCGGUGGUUGUAAGUGGAAAUGCCAUCGCUCAACGGACAAAAGUUACCCUGGGGAUAACAGGCUUAUCUCCCCCAAGAGUUCACAUCGACGGGGAGGUUUGGCACCUCGAUGUCGGCUCAUCACAUCCUGGAGCGGAAGUACGUUCCAAGGGUUGGGCUGUUCGCCCAUUAAAGUGGUACGCGAGCUGGGUUCAGAACGUCGUGAGACAGUUCGGUCCUUAUCUGUCGCAGGCGAAGGAUAUUUGAAGGGAGUUGACCUUAGUACGAGAGGACCAGGUUGAAGGAACCGAUGGUGCACCAGUUGUACUACCAAGUGCAUAGCUGGAUAGCUAAGUUCCGAAGGGAUAAACGCUGAAAGCAUCUAAGUGUGAAGCCCACCCUAAGAUAAGAUAUCCCAUAUCGAAAGAUAGUAAGAUUCCAAUAAGACUAAUUGGUAGAUAGGUUGGAGGUGUAAGUAUAGUGAUAUAUUGAGCUGACCAAUACUAAUAAAUCGAGGGCUUAACUAU